RNAcentral lists this ribosomal RNA (736 nucleotides) under uncultured bacterium. Its description in RNAcentral is "bacterial SSU rRNA". It matches the Rfam family "Bacterial small subunit ribosomal RNA", at positions 104 to 826 of the family's 1533-position model. The record is from RNAcentral.
GGGUGAGUAACACGUAGGGAACCUGCCCGUGCACCGGGAAUACGCUCUGGAAACGGAGAACAAAUCCCGAUGUACAGGAAGGAGGCAUCUUCUUUCUGUGAAACAUCCUUUAGGGGAUGGGGCGCGGAUGGACCUGCGGUGCAUUAGUUGGUUGGCGGGGUAAAGGCCCACCAAGACGAUGAUGCAUAGCCGGCCUGAGAGGGCGGACGGCCACAUUGGGACUGAGACACGGCCCAGACUCCUGCGGGAGGCAGCAGUAGGGAAUUUUCGUCAAUGGGCGCAAGCCUGAACGAGCGAUGCCGCGUGAGUGAAGAAGGCCUUCGGGUCGUAAAGCUCUGUUGCGGGGGAAAAAAGGCAGCAUCAGGAAAUGGGUGCUGACUGAUGGUGCCCCGCCAGAAAGUCACGGCUAACUACGUGCCAGCAGCCGCGGUAAUACGUAGGUGGCGAGCGUUAUCCGGAAUGAUUGGGCGUAAAGGGUGCGCAGGCGGUCCUGCAAGUCUGGAGUGAAACGCAUGAGCUCAACUCAUGCAUGGCUUUGGAAACUGGAGGACUGGAGAGCAGGAGAGGGCGGUGGAACUCCAUGUGUAGCGGUAAAAUGCGUAGAUAUAUGGAAGAACACCAGUGGCGAAGGCGGCCGCCUGGCCUGUUGCUGACGCUGAGGCACGAAAGCGUGGGGAGCAAAUAGGAUUAGAUACCCUAGUAGUCCACGCCGUAAACGAUGAGGACCAAGUGUUGG